CAGGAGGAUGGGGGUAUUGAUAAAGAUGUGAACCAUCGAAUCAAAGCCGGAUGGAUGAAGUGGCGCCAAGCUUCUGGCAUUCUCUGUGACAAGAGAGUGCCACAAAAGCUAAAAGGCAAGUUCUACAGGACGGCGGUUCGACCCGCAAUGUUGUAUGGCUCUGAGUGUUGGCCAACUAAAAGGCGAUAUGUUCAACAGUUAGGUGUGGCGGAGAUGCGUAUGUUGAGAUGGAUGUGUGGCCACACGAGGAAGGAUCAAGUCCGGAAUGAUGAUAUACGAGAUAGAGUUGGGGUAGCACCAAUUGAAGAGAAGCUUGUC
RNAcentral lists this ribosomal RNA (318 nucleotides) under Triticum aestivum (bread wheat). RNAcentral's name for it is "partial small subunit ribosomal RNA". Lineage: Eukaryota; Viridiplantae; Streptophyta; Magnoliopsida; Poales; Poaceae. The record is from RNAcentral.